AACUAUCUCAAAAAAAAAUUUUUGGAACACCAGUAAAACAUGCAAAACAUAACUUAAAAUAAAAACAACUAAACCUAACAUAACGAAAAGAAUAAACCAAAGAAAUUCUAAAAUACUCCUCCAAACUUUGAACAAAACAUUGUCCUCAAUGUGAUAAAAGAAAAUUAGAGAAAAAGGAUAAGAAUAGUCCCCUAACUCUGACUUUGCAAUUUACAGGUCCUCCUUUUGUCACUGCCAAAAUCAUCCUUAAAGUCUGAAUCCGUAGACAACGAAGGAAAAGUAAUCAUAUCUAUUCUAAUGUGUUUAUCAUAAGCUCUCAUCAUUUGUUCAAUUGCCUGAUUUUGCCUUUCGUGACAGUCUAGUCAACGAUCAAUGCGCUCCAUGCAUUGAGCAACACUAAGAGUGGGAGCCGCUUGUGAAGGUAGGGGGCCGUUUGAUAAGAACUACCAACCAUUGGUGCAGACUCUUCCAAUCACUUAAGAAUGCCCAUGGUGAUGGGAAUUUUAAGUUGUUGCAACUCCUCCUUAUCGCUCUAUUACACACCAGCUCUUGCACAUAAUGCAAUGAUGAAGGAAGGCAAACCGAUACCAUCUCGUUUAGUGCGGCCCCGUAUGUAAGAUGGCAUGAGAGAUAACCUAACUAAUGUCAAUGGAUUUAUGGAUUACAAUGGCAUAAAUUAGAACUGUGCAAUCCCUUAUUACAUCACUGAUAUGAGUAGACGGGAGUAAUCGUGCUGUUACAAAGUGUAACCAAACUUUUAACUCCUUUUUCAUGGCACUUCAUUUAAAUGAAACGGGCUCACCAUGUGAUGUCUUCGAUUGGGCUCCUUCAACACAAAGCAUUGAUAUAAUCUCAUUACAAUCCUACUGAUAGCCCAAGUACUGCCCAUAUUCAUCAUUCUCAAUAUUGGGAGUUCCAAAGAAUGUGUUGAUAGCUUGAUUGUGAAAAGGCACUUAUUUGCCACUGACAAAAACAAUGCCAUCAACAUGCUCAACCGUAUUUGCAUAAAACUCUCGAACCACUGGUACAACCGUAGCUUCAGGUUGGUUACUAACUAGCUGCCAAUGUCUAUCUUGAAGCAUCUGAUGAAUUUUCUCAUAAGGGAGGAUGGGGAUAUCUAUCCCUCGUUCAGGAAUUGACACUUUGUUAAUCAAUGACGUAUGAUAUCUCGUAGCGGCAUCGACCGAGAUGAACUUCGAUCUAUCAAAAGUGCAACUUGAGCUUGGUUUGGAUCAUUUGGGUGCCAUUUCAUAGAAAAGAAAUUCAAUUAUCAAAACAAAUCCAAAGUAAA
RNAcentral lists this long non-coding RNA (1291 nucleotides) under Theobroma cacao (cacao). Its description in RNAcentral is "long non-coding RNA (TCAC_LNC001173)". The record is from RNAcentral. Lineage: Eukaryota; Viridiplantae; Streptophyta; Magnoliopsida; Malvales; Malvaceae.